GGGAGGAAGAAUAAAGAGACUAAAAUAACAUAUUAAAUAGGUCUUGCUGCUCUGUAUGGAUAAUGUGAUGAGCAAUCGCGAUGGAAUUGUCUUAGUUCAGUGUUUAUGAGUUUAUUGCCCCACCACAUGCCUUAUUUUAUUCAUUGAAAAAUGCUUAUAUCAAAAUAUGGAACCUCCUUAUCUGAUACAAAUGCUCUUGAGUGCCCCUAUUGGUCUGAGAUGUCUGUUUCAGGAAUUUUGAGAUUCCCUGGCUAUUGCUUUUUUCAUUGUAUUUUGAGUGACAUUCUGUAUAUCUUGCUUUGAUGCAUGCACGCUUGUGAAACCUACUCCGUUCGGAGAUUUGACUUCUAGUGUUGGUUACAGGUUAAGCACGAGGAUUUCUAUACAAUUGCAAUUGAUGAACUAGAAUCUGUUACCAUGAGAUACAAAUUCAGGUCAAUGAUGAGAGGUGCUGCUGUUCUUCUGUUUUGCUGUCUAUCUCUGAUAUAUUAACAGCUUGAUUUAUCAAGAUCUGUUUUAUACUGUUGUCAUGGUGUUCAUGUCCCAUGGACAUGGUUGUCUGGUCUUUCUAGCCCUUCUGCUUUCAUUUUUUGCUUCGAUUUGGUAAAUGUGUUUUUCUUUUUUUUCCCCUUUCGCACCGGUUUGCUAGGGUGGGGCGAUUGUUGAGUCGGGUCUAUUGUGAACUGGGUUAGAAUACUGCAUUUUGAGCAGCUUAUGUUUUCUCAAAUGCACAUUCAUCUUCUAUAUAUCUUACUCAAAUCGGUUCUCCCUGUUUUCCAGC
Molecule: long non-coding RNA, 781 nt
Organism: Populus euphratica (Euphrates poplar)
Lineage: Eukaryota; Viridiplantae; Streptophyta; Magnoliopsida; Malpighiales; Salicaceae
Exons: 2
Source: RefSeq, a predicted model, not a curated record